Molecule: ribosomal RNA, 340 nt
Filed under: uncultured bacterium
Lineage: Bacteria
Description: partial 16S ribosomal RNA
Rfam family: Bacterial small subunit ribosomal RNA
Source: RNAcentral
UGGGGAAUAUUGCACAAUGGGCGCAAGCCUGAUGCAGCCAUGCCGCGUGUAUGAAGAAGGCCUUCGGGUUGUAAAGUACUUUCAGCGGGGAGGAAGGCGAUAAGGUUAAUAACCUUGUCGAUUGACGUUACCCGCAGAAGAAGCACCGGCUAACUCCGUGCCAGCAGCCGCGGUAAUACGGAGGGUGCAAGCGUUAAUCGGAAUUACUGGGCGUAAAGCGCACGCAGGGGGUCUGUCAAGUCGGAUGUGAAAUCCCCGGGCUCAACCUGGGAACUGCAUUCGAAACUGGCAGGCUAGAGUCUUGUAGAGGGGGGUAGAAUUCCAGGUGUAGCGGUGAAAU